GGGUUGUGAGGUUAAGCGACUAAGCGUACACGGUGGAUGCCCUGGCAGUCAGAGGCGAUGAAGGACGUGCUAAUCUGCGAUAAGCGUCGGUAAGGUGAUAUGAACCGUUAUAACCGGCGAUUUCCGAAUGGGGAAACCCAGUGUGUUUCGACACACUAUCAUUAACUGAAUCCAUAGGUUAAUGAGGCGAACCGGGGGAACUGAAACAUCUAAGUACCCCGAGGAAAAGAAAUCAACCGAGAUUCCCCCAGUAGCGGCGAGCGAACGGGGAGCAGCCCAGAGCCUGAAUCAGUGUGUGUGUUAGUGGAAGCGUCUGGAAAGGCGCGCGAUACAGGGUGACAGCCCCGUACACAAAAAUGCACAUAUUGUGAGCUCGAUGAGUAGGGCGGGACACGUGGUAUCCUGUCUGAAUAUGGGGGGACCAUCCUCCAAGGCUAAAUACUCCUGACUGACCGAUAGUGAACCAGUACCGUGAGGGAAAGGCGAAAAGAAACCCGGCGAGGGGAGUGAAAAAGAACCUGAAACCGUGUACGUACAAGCAGUGGGAGCACGCUUAGGCGUGUGACUGCGUACCUUU
Molecule: ribosomal RNA, 577 nt
Filed under: Escherichia coli
Lineage: Bacteria; Pseudomonadati; Pseudomonadota; Gammaproteobacteria; Enterobacterales; Enterobacteriaceae
Description: partial 23S ribosomal RNA
Rfam family: Bacterial large subunit ribosomal RNA
Source: RNAcentral